CAUUGAGUUAACAAUUAUAGCAAAGUAGAUUUAGCACUAUCUCCUGUUAGCCUUUUGUUUGUUUGAUAACUGUUCUUUGGCAUGGAUCAUCGAUUAGAUUUAGACUUGAUAAACUGAUUUAUUCUGGUGACAGUAUCAAGGGGAGCACGGAUGGAAGCCAUCAAAUUACACUGGCCUAUGUGAAAAGAUUUUGGCUAAAAGCCAAACUGUGUCUGUGUUUUUUCUU
Molecule: long non-coding RNA, 226 nt
Organism: Juglans microcarpa x Juglans regia
Lineage: Eukaryota; Viridiplantae; Streptophyta; Magnoliopsida; Fagales; Juglandaceae
Exons: 3
Source: RefSeq, a predicted model, not a curated record